UGGGGAAUUUUGGACAAUGGGCGCAAGCCUGAUCCAGCCAUUCCGCGUGCAGGACGAAGGCCUUCGGGUUGUAAACUGCUUUUGUACGGAACGAAAGGGCUCUCUCUAAUACAGGGGGCAUAUGACGGUACCGUAAGAAUAAGCACCGGCUAACUACGUGCCAGCAGCCGCGGUAAUACGUAGGGUGCAAGCGUUAAUCGGAAUUACUGGGCGUAAAGCGUGCGCAGGCGGUUUUGUAAGACAGAGGUGAAAUCCCCGGGCUCAACCUGGGAACGGCCUUUGUGACUGCAAAGCUGGAGUGCGGCAGAGGGGGAUGGAAUUCCGCGUGUAGCAGUGAAAUGCGUAGAUAUGCGGAGGAACACCGAUGGCGAAGGCAAUCCCCUGGGCCUGCACUGACGCUCAUGCACGAAAGCGUGGGGAGCAAACAG
This 428-nucleotide ribosomal RNA is filed under the name uncultured Comamonadaceae bacterium. Its description in RNAcentral is "bacterial SSU rRNA". It matches the Rfam family "Bacterial small subunit ribosomal RNA", at positions 355 to 775 of the family's 1533-position model. The record is from RNAcentral. Lineage: Bacteria; Pseudomonadati; Pseudomonadota; Betaproteobacteria; Burkholderiales; Comamonadaceae.